Long non-coding RNA from Perca flavescens (yellow perch), 1333 nucleotides. RefSeq lists it as uncharacterized. NCBI's taxonomy places the organism in Eukaryota, Metazoa, Chordata, Actinopteri, Perciformes, Percidae. The transcript is spliced from 7 exons. The record is from RefSeq and is a predicted model, not a curated record.
UUCACCAGACAUUGAAGUGUGUCGUUAAGAAAGACGGCACCCACAAACCAAAAAAAGGGAAACAAAUAAAUCUCAAUGGGCAGUUAGCUUCAUGCCUGACUGACAGCAUUGACGAAGAAUUCAAGAAGACCUUCCCAAAUGAAAGAAAGUAUGGACAAUUCAACAAUGUCAUCACUAAGUUUUCACUUGACACAAAGAGUCUGAUUAAAAAGUACAAAGAUGUUGAACUGCAGCUGAUAUUUCUCAAGACAGAGGAAGACAAAAUUAAGACAGAACUCAACAAAAUGAUCCGGGAGCGUAAGAAAAUAAUCUACAAGAGUUUGACCGUGACAAUUGGGAAAAACAUGCAAGAAGCCUACGACGAAGCCACAAAUUUUAGAGGAAAGGACACGCUGGAAAAUAUGAGAGACACUCUUGAGAAGCACGUACGUGCUGCAAAGAACACCAUGUUUGAGGAGGCUUAAGAAGAAUUGUUGAAACAGCUGAGAGAAUUGAUGGAGGAGAUCCUGGAGAAGCUGGAGAAAACAAUGCAGGAAUCAAUCGAGCUGUCACUCAAGACAGAUGGUGACUCAAUCCUAGAUGUUACAUGGCAGCUUGAGGAGGUGAACAAUUACUACAAUGAACUGAAGGCCCAGCAGCAGAGUCCAUGACAUGCACAGGUUUGCUCCGUGGAGAGAAACAGCCGAGGCCAGAUUCCCCACUGAAGGUCCUGCAGACCCACUGGUUACUGACGUCAGGCCUCUGGAUUUAGUCUCAACCAUUUUUGUCAAGUUGCUGUCCCUGUACUCUUUAAGUGUUGUUUUGAUAUGUACUUUGAGUUUGCUUAUGGUGAACUACAUGGUGAGAGAUUUUAGAUUUUCUAUUUUUGGUAAUGCAUUUUUGAUUAUAGAUCAGAGGCAAACAGAAAAUGUGGGAGAGAGAGAGAGAGAGAGAGAGAGAGAGAGAGAUGAAAUGCAGCAAAGUUUCCCAGUCUGAUUUUAAACCAUGGACGUUGUGGUUUUAAUGGUUCACGUCUUAGCCACUAGGCCAAUAUGGUGUAUUCUUGUUUUUAAUGAUUGAACAUGAUUUGAUUUUUUGUUCUCUUUGAAUAUAUUUUCAUGUUUUUUUUCCAUAAUUUGAUUUUAUUAGUAUUGGUCAAUUGGGAUGAGCUUGGUGAAAUUUUAAUGAUUUUAUGGGUGUGUAAUUUAAAUUGUAACCUUGAUUUUGGUACAUACUGUACGUUGGAUUUGAAAUAGGCUUCUCAAAGAAUGAUGAUGAUCUUUUUUCCUUAAAGGUCCAGUGUGUAACGUGUUUAGUUGUUCAUUAUCAAAAUCUGUGUUGCCCGUUCACAAAC